AGCCCAAUAGGAGUCUUUCUUAACCUUUGCUAUGUAAGGGUCUUUGGUGUUUUUAAGUGAUUAUUUCUUCCCCAUGCU
RNAcentral lists this non-coding RNA (78 nucleotides) under Marmota monax (woodchuck). It matches the Rfam family "Stem loopII regulatory element in POLB". The record is from RNAcentral. Lineage: Eukaryota; Metazoa; Chordata; Mammalia; Rodentia; Sciuridae.